GAUGAACGCUGGCGGCGUGCCUAAUACAUGCAAGUCGAGCGAACAGACGAGGAGCUUGCUCCUCUGACGUUAGCGGCGGACGGGUGAGUAACACGUGGAUAACCUACCUAUAAGACUGGGACAACUUCGGGAAACCGGAGCUAAUACCGGAUAAUAUAUUGAACCGCAUGGUUCAAUAGUGAAAGACGGUUUUGCUGUCACUUAUAGAUGGAUCCGCGCCUCAUUAGCUAGUUGGUAAGGUAACGGCUUACCAAGGCAACGAUGCGUAGCCGACCUGAGAGGGUGAUCGGCCACACUGGAACUGAGACACGGUCCAGACUCCUACGGGAGGCAGCAGUAGGGAAUCUUCCGCAAUGGGCGAAAGCCUGACGGAGCAACGCCGCGUGAGUGAUGAAGGUCUUCGGAUCGUAAAACUCUGUUAUUAGGGAAGAACAAAUGUGUAAGUAACUAUGCACGUCUUGACGGUACCUAAUCAGAAAGCCACGGCUAACUACGUG
Molecule: ribosomal RNA, 497 nt
Filed under: uncultured bacterium
Lineage: Bacteria
Description: partial 16S ribosomal RNA
Rfam family: Bacterial small subunit ribosomal RNA
Source: RNAcentral